UAGCUAGUUGGUGAGGUAAAGGCUUACCAAGGCGACGAUCUGUAGCGGGUCUGAGAGGAUGAUCCGCCACACUGGAACUGAGACACGGUCCAGACUCCUACGGGAGGCAGCAGUGGGGAAUUUUGGACAAUGGGGGCAACCCUGAUCCAGCCAUGCCGCGUGAGUGAAGAAGGCCUUCGGGUUGUAAAGCUCUUUCGGCCGGGAAGAAAUCGCAUGGGCCAAUACCCUGUGUGGAUGACGGUACCGGAAUAAGAAGCACCGGCUAACUACGUGCCAGCAGCCGCGGUAAUACGUAGGGUGCGAGCGUUAAUCGGAAUUACUGGGCGUAAAGCGUGCGCAGGCGGUUUUGUAAGACAGGCGUGAAAUCCCCGGGCUUAACCUGGGAACUGCGUUUGUGACUGCAAGGCUAGAGUACGGCAGAGGGGGGUGGAAUUCCACGUGUAGCAGUGAAAUGCGUAGAGAUGUGGAGGAACACCAAUGGCGAAGGCAGCCCCCUGGGUCGAUACUGACGCUCAUGCACGAAAGCGUGGGUAGCAAACAGGAUUAGAUACCCUGGUAGUCCACGCCCUAAACUAUGUCAACUAGGUGUUGGGUGGGUAAAACCAUUUAGUACCGUAGCUAACGCGUGAAGUUGACCGCCUGGGGAGUACGGCCGCAAGGUUAAAACUCAAAGGAAUUGACGGGGACCCGCACAAGCGGUGGAUGAUGUGGAUUAAUUCGAUGCAACGCGAAAAACCUUACCUACCCUUGACAUGCCAGGAACUUGCCAGAGAUGGCUUGGUGCCCGAAAGGGAGCCUGGACACAGGUGCUGCAUGGCUGUCGUCAGCUCGUGUCGUGAGAUGUUGGGUCAAGUCCCGCAACGAGCGCAACCCUUGUCGUUAAUUGCCAUCAUUUAGUUGGGCACUUUAACGAGACUGCCGGUGACAAACCGGAGGAAGGUGGGGAUGACGUCAAGUCCUCAUGGCCCUUAUGGGUAGGGCUUCACACGUCAUACAAUGGUCGGUACAAAGGGUUGCCAAGCCGCGAGGCGGAGCCAAUCCCAGAAAGCCGAUCGUAGUCCGGAUUGCAGGCUGCAACUCGCCUGCAUGAAGUCGGAAUCGCUAGUAAUCGUGGAUCAGCAUGUCACGGUGAAUACGUUCCCGGGUCUUGUACACACCGCCCGUCACACCAUGGGAGCGGGUUCCGCCAGAAGUAGGUAGCCUAACCGCAAGGGGGGCGCUUACCACGGCGGGGUUCGUGACUGGGGUGAAGUCGUAACAAGGUAGCCGUAGGGGAACCUGCGGCUG
Molecule: ribosomal RNA, 1287 nt
Filed under: metagenome
Description: bacterial SSU rRNA
Rfam family: Bacterial small subunit ribosomal RNA
Source: RNAcentral